GUGAGGAAUAUUGCGCAAUGGAGGCAACUCUGACGCAGCCAUGCCGCGUGCAGGAAGAAGGCGCUACGCGUUGUAAACUGCUUUUAACCGGGAAGAAACCCCAGGACGUGUCCUGGGUUGACGGUACCGGAGGAAUAAGCACCGGCUAACUUCGUGCCAGCAGCCGCGGUAAUACGAAGGGUGCAAGCGUUAUCCGGAUUCAUUGGGGUUAAAGGGUGCGUAGGCGGAGCGUUAAGUCAGUGGUGAAAUCCUGCAGCUUAACUGUAGACUUGCCAUUGAUACUGGCGCUCUUGAGUGCGCUUGAAGUGGGCGGAAUGUGCCGUGUAGCGGUGAAAUGCUUAGAUAUGGCACAGAACACCAAUUGCGAAGGCAGCUCACUAAGGCGAUACUGACGCUGAGGCACGAAAGCGUGGGGAUCGAACAGGAUUAGAAACCCUUGUAGUCC
This 445-nucleotide ribosomal RNA is filed under the name uncultured bacterium. Its description in RNAcentral is "partial 16S ribosomal RNA". It matches the Rfam family "Bacterial small subunit ribosomal RNA", at positions 354 to 796 of the family's 1533-position model. The record is from RNAcentral.